AACGCACAUUGCGCCCACCAGCACUCUGGUGGGCAUGCCUGUUCGAGCGUCAUUUCACCCUCAAGCCCUGGGCUUGGUGUUGGGGCACUACGUUGUAGGCCCCGAAGAGCAGUGGCGGACCCGCCGAGCCCCGAGCGUAGUACUCUCUCGCCCAGGGACCCGGCGGGCUCAGCCGUUAAACACCACUGGUUGACCUCGGAUCAGGUAGGAAUACCCGCUGAACUUAA
RNAcentral lists this unclassified non-coding RNA (227 nucleotides) under uncultured fungus. RNAcentral's name for it is "partial contains 5.8S ribosomal RNA, internal transcribed spacer 2, and large subunit ribosomal RNA". The record is from RNAcentral. Lineage: Eukaryota; Fungi.